RNAcentral lists this long non-coding RNA (273 nucleotides) under Ricinus communis (castor bean). Its description in RNAcentral is "long non-coding RNA (RCOM_LNC001259)". Lineage: Eukaryota; Viridiplantae; Streptophyta; Magnoliopsida; Malpighiales; Euphorbiaceae. The record is from RNAcentral.
UGUUUGUAGUUGAUUUCUCAUAUUUAUGGAGUAAUCCUUCUUUUCAAAAAAACAGAAGAGAAUGAGUUAUUGUUGUCGUAGGUAUAUGCAACUAUGUAGAUGAAGAUGUAGCUGAUGGAGCUGAAUCUGAGCCUCACACUAUUGACAAAGAAUCAUGAAAGACUGGUCUUAAACAUGUAAAAGAAAAAAAAGGAAACAAAACAAAAGAGAAAAGAAAAGAAGAAAACAAGCAAAGGAAAAUAGAUGGUAAAAGGACAUACGCAUUUUGUCCAU